Molecule: ribosomal RNA, 568 nt
Filed under: Diversispora sp. S-MA-1
Lineage: Eukaryota; Fungi; Glomeromycota; Glomeromycetes; Diversisporales; Diversisporaceae
Description: SSU rRNA
Rfam family: Eukaryotic small subunit ribosomal RNA
Source: RNAcentral
UUGGAGGGCAAGUCUGGUGCCAGCAGCCGCGGUAAUACCAGCUCCAAUAGCGUAUAUUAAAGUUGUUGCAGUUAAAAAGCUCGUAGUUGAACUUCGGGGUCUACCCAUUGGUCAGGCUUAAUUGUCUGUACUGGUGAGAUGGAUCUCUACCUUCUGAGGAACUUUCAUGCCAUUUAUUUGGUGUGGUUGGAAAUCAGGACUGUUACUUUGAAAAAAUUAGAGUGUUUAAAGCAGACUAUCGUCUGAAUACAUUAGCAUGGAAUAAUGAAAUAGGACGGACUGAUUCUAUUUCGUUGGUUUCUAGGAUCACCGUAAUGAUUAAUAGGGAUAGUUGGGGGCAUUAGUAUUCAAUUGUCAGAGGUGGAAUUCUUGGAUUUAUUGAAGACUAACUACUGCGAAAGCAUUUGCCUAGGAUGUUUUCAUUAAUCAAGAACGAAAGUUAGGGGAUCGAAGACGAUCAGAUACCGUCGUAGUCUUAACCAUAAACUAUGCCGACUAGGGAUCGGACGAAGUUAAUUUUAUAAUGACGCGUUCGGCACCUUACGGGAAACCAAAGUGUUUGGGWAUC